AAUCCAGUAACAAUAGCGGCUUCCACAACUUAGCACAGUGCAACCCAUAUGCUACUAUAGCAUAGCUAAAAAUGUUCAGAGCUGCAGAUGAUGGGCUUUUUCUUCACAGGACCAUCAUCACGUUGUUUAGGCUAUAUGUAUGAUGAAAUCAUAGAGAAAUGGUCAUUCUCUUAUGGGCUCAAUUGUUUUUUUUUUGUGAGAGUACUAUACCAGAUAAGAAAUGUCCUCGGUGGAGGACUAAUGAAAGCCAAAUUUACCUUUUGAAUUGGGGGUUUGGGAUCGAGGGGAAAAAUCCAAGUCAACUGUACGGUCUUGAUGAAAAUCUAAGAACAGGCAAUAUUUUUUUUAUCACCAAGCCGGUUCGAAGGUUUGUUUUUUUUGUUUAAUUGGAUUUUUAAGGGAAAAAAAGAUACAGAAACACCCAAUACCCCCAUUCCCAUUCCCUUAAUCCUAAUCCCCAAAAGGUAACCCUAACCUCACCUCACGGCGACACCAUAGUCGCAAGCUAACCUCACAUCACCGCGACACAGCCAGCCGUGUCGUGUUGUUCGUGUCGACGAACACCGCGCGACUCCAACGACGUCACCUGCACCGCGGCUCCCUUGUCUUCAUCGUGGCUAAUCCUUGCUCCACGGCUCCUUGCGCCGGUUUGUCGUCACCGUAGUAGCGUCCUCUCCGUCGUGUGCAUCCUCUACUCUGUCAGACUGGUUGUUUGUCUCUGUCUUCUGCCUCCUCUGCUCUGUUGGAUAAGUAAGGAAACUCCAGUGGAGAAUGACAUCGAGUAGCAGCAAGGCGGAAGACCCGUGAAAAUAGAACAUGGCGAUGGUGGAGAUGUUUUCACAGGCAAAAACCGAUUAUGCAGACGAGGGGGAAGCGUUGUUUGACCUGGGCACUGCGCUGAAGAUAUGGUUGGAGAUUUGAAGUGCAAUAAUGGGGGGCGUAGCUUGCAUAUAUAGAUAU
Molecule: long non-coding RNA, 960 nt
Organism: Arachis duranensis
Lineage: Eukaryota; Viridiplantae; Streptophyta; Magnoliopsida; Fabales; Fabaceae
Exons: 3
Source: RefSeq, a predicted model, not a curated record